This 1153-nucleotide long non-coding RNA is filed under the name Mytilus galloprovincialis (Mediterranean mussel). The record is from RNAcentral. Lineage: Eukaryota; Metazoa; Mollusca; Bivalvia; Mytilida; Mytilidae.
AAUAAUUUAAAAUAAGUUAGUCCAUUAUUUCAGGUACAACCUCUUGUAUUCAAUAUUUAGAAAAAUUUAAUUAUUUAUAAAAUUGCCACAAGCAAGGUUUCACAAAAAUAAAAAUUCAGGGAUCCAGCCAUUUUCAAAAAGGGUUUCCGACUCAGAAGAAAAGGAAAGGGGGUGGGGUGUCAAAAUCCCCAUUCAAAUACAAUUUCUAAAUGCACGCAAAAAUUUACACUUAAUGUUGAAAAUCAAGUUUUAUUACAACUUAAAACAAUUUAUAUAUGGACAUGAGGUACCUUCAUGGGUAGCCAAGGACUUGAAACACCCCUUUGGUCAUUGUUUACAUAUAUAUUAUUUAUAUAUCACUACAUACUGAAAUCCAUUUCACAUUACAAAGAUUGGGCAAAAAAUAACAUGUAAAUUUGAAUUUAUAAUUGACACUGCAAUGUAAAACAAUUCAAUAAAAAAAAGUGCUGUGGGUAAGAUAAUGUUACAAAAAAUGGAACAAAUCAAAAUCAGAAACUGUACACAGACAAUGUGGGGUAACCAGCCAAACACUUAUAUAACAAAAAUAUUUAUAAAUUGAGAUUACAUAUUUUAUUAUGUUGCUAUCACCGGAAGCUGUGCAUUUUUCAAUUGGCUGGAGAAAAACAAACAUAGUGCAUUAAAAAAGUCUGACAAUUAUUUACUAUGGAUUUAUUUAUCAAGGCUCUUACUUCAGAGAUUUGAGAAAAGGGGGACUAGCUGCCAACUGGUGAAAAUAUAGACUGGCCUAUGACAAAAACAUUUUGAACACCCCUCCCCCUUUUCUAACAGUCAUCAAAAACAUAUUGAUCCCUAACAGUCAUCAUUCUUUUAAAGGAUCAAUUAUACUCCCAGUUUAUGUUAAAAGAAAUAUUGUGUUUUAAUUUAUUGUGCCAUUUCCUACUUUGUAAGCUGAGAGAAACAUUAGAAAACAAGUUUAAUGCUGUUGAACAUUAGAAAGGGUUUUAUAUAAACCUAAUUUAUAUGAAAAUAUUAUGAACCAAAAAACUGAUAAUUGACGGACUGUACACACACAAUAAUACAAAUGUAAGUACUGUUAAUUCAGAAAUUAUUGCGAUGUUUUUGUUAUUGAGUAAAAUGCGACCGGGUUAUAAAAUCGCAAUUAUUUAAACUC